Pseudoliparis swirei is the source of this 105-nucleotide long non-coding RNA. RefSeq lists it as uncharacterized. Lineage: Eukaryota; Metazoa; Chordata; Actinopteri; Perciformes; Liparidae. The transcript has 3 exons. The record is from RefSeq and is a predicted model, not a curated record.
CGCACACCUGCUUUAAUGACUUCAAACUACUUUCACAGGACUCCCUCUACCCCACAGCCACCAGCCUGAGGACGUGUCUCGUCUCCCGGUUUGUAGGAGCUCCAG